GACGAACGCUGGCGGCGUGCUUAACACAUGCAAGUCGAGCGAUGAAGCACCUUCGGGUGUGAAUUAGCGGCGAACGGGUGAGGAACACGCGAGCAAUCUGCCUUCAACUCUGGGAUAACUCCGGGAAACCGGGGCUAAUACCGGCUCUGAGCCUUGAUCGCAUGAUCGGGGCUGGCAAGUUCUUCGGGUGAAGAUGAUCCCGCGGCCUAUCAGCUUGUUGGUGAGGUAGUGGCUGACCAAGGCGACGACGGGUAGCCGGCCUGAGAGGGCGACCGGCCACACUGGGACUGAGACACGGCCCAGACUCCUACGGGAGGCAGCAGUGGGGAAUAUUGGGCAAUGGAGGAAACUCUGACCCAGCGACGCCGCGUGAGGGAUGAAGGCCUUCGGGUCGUAAACCUCUUUCAGUAGGGAAGAAGCGAAAGUGACGGUACCUACAGAAGAAGCACCGGCUAACUAUGUGCCAGCCGCCGCCGUAA
Molecule: ribosomal RNA, 479 nt
Filed under: uncultured bacterium
Lineage: Bacteria
Description: partial 16S ribosomal RNA
Rfam family: Bacterial small subunit ribosomal RNA
Source: RNAcentral